This 468-nucleotide ribosomal RNA is filed under the name uncultured bacterium. Its description in RNAcentral is "partial 16S ribosomal RNA". It matches the Rfam family "Bacterial small subunit ribosomal RNA", at positions 28 to 507 of the family's 1533-position model. The record is from RNAcentral.
GACGAACGCUGGCGGCGUGCUUAACACAUGCAAGUCGAACGGAAAGGCCCUGCCUUUGUGGGGUGCUCGAGUGGCGAACGGGGGAGUAACACGUGAGUAACCUGCCCUUGACUUUGGGAUAACUUAAUGAAACUGGGGCUAAUACCGGAUAGGAGCUCCUGCUUCAUGGUGGGGGUUGGAAAGUUUCGGGUGUUGGUUAUGGACUCGCGGCGCAUCAGCUUGUUGGUUGGGUAGUGGCUUACCAAGGCCUUGACGGGUAGCCGGGCUGGGAGGGUAAGAGGACAAAUUAGGCCUGAGAUGAGGCACAGACCACAAUGGGAGGGAAGGGAGGAGAAUGGUGUAUAGUAGGCGGGACGAUAAUGCGGUAAAGCCAUGUGGGGGAUGAGGUGCAGCGGGUUGUAAAGCACUUUUGCCUGUGACGAAACGUGAGUGACGGUAAUGGGUGAAGAAGCACCGGCUAACUACGUG